RNAcentral lists this ribosomal RNA (478 nucleotides) under uncultured bacterium. RNAcentral describes it as "partial 16S ribosomal RNA". It matches the Rfam family "Bacterial small subunit ribosomal RNA", at positions 28 to 523 of the family's 1533-position model. The record is from RNAcentral.
GACGAACGCUGGCGGCGUGCUUAACACGUGCAAGUCGAACGGUAAGGCCCUUCGGGGUACACGAGUGGCGAACGGGUGAGUAACACGUGGGUGAUCUGCCCUGCACUUCGGGAUAAGCCUGGGAAACUGGGUCUAAUACCGGAUAGGACCCUGGGAUGCAUGUCAUGGGGUGGAAAGCUUUUGCGGUGUGGGAUGGGCCCGCGGCCUAUCAGCUAGUUGGUGGGGUGAUGGCCUACCAAGGCGACGACGGGUAGCCGGCCUGGGAGGGGGACCGGCCACACUGGGACUGAGAUACGGCCCAGACUCCUACGGGAGGCAGCAGUGGGGAAUAUUGCGCAAUGGGCGCAAGCCUGAUGCAGCGACGCCGCGUGAGGGAUGACGGCCUUCGGGUUGUAAACCUCUUUCAGCACCGACGAAGCGCAAGUGACGGUAGGUGCAGAAGAAGGACCGGCCAACUACGUGCCAGCCGCCGCCGUAA